Molecule: RNase P RNA, 260 nt
Filed under: Methanomicrobia archaeon
Lineage: Archaea; Methanobacteriati; Methanobacteriota; Methanomicrobia
Description: RNase P RNA component
Rfam family: Archaeal RNase P
About the family: Ribonuclease P (RNase P) is a ubiquitous endoribonuclease, found in archaea, bacteria and eukarya as well as chloroplasts and mitochondria. Its best characterised activity is the generation of mature 5'-ends of tRNAs by cleaving the 5'-leader elements of precursor-tRNAs.
Source: RNAcentral
GAGAGAGGAAGAGCAGCUGCCGGUCCUCGAUGCUCGAGGGCUGAGGAAAGUCCCCCCACCGUAGGAGCGAACGCUGAGAGGGCGUAAGGCGAGAGUCUUGGCUCUGGUAUAGAAACGGGACCGAACCAUACCCACGUGAUGAUUCCGUAAGGAUGAAGUCGUAUGGUCACGGAUGGAACGACCAGCCUCGCGGGUGCAAGCCUGAAGAAGGCGCUGAGAUAAAUGCUGCUGAAACAGAAGGGGGCUUACUCUCCUCACUC